Molecule: ribosomal RNA, 465 nt
Filed under: uncultured bacterium
Lineage: Bacteria
Description: partial 16S ribosomal RNA
Rfam family: Bacterial small subunit ribosomal RNA
Source: RNAcentral
GACGAACGCUGGCGGCGUGCUUAACACAUGCAAGUCGAACGGAAAGGCCCCUUUGGGGGUCCUCGAGUGGCGCACGGGUGAGUAACACGUGAGUAACCUGCCCUUGACUUCGGGAUAACUUCAGGAAACUGGGGCUAAUACCGGAUAGGAAUCCUUGCUGCAUGGUGGGGGUUGGAAAGCUUCGGCGGUUUUGGAUGGACUCGCGGCUUAUCAGCUUGUUGGUGGGGUAGUGGCUUACCAAGGCUUUGACGGGUAGCCGGCCUGAGAGGGCGACCGGCCACAUUGGGACUGAGAUACGGCCCAGACUCCUACGGGAGGCAGCAGUGGGGAAUAUUGCACAAUGGGCGGAAGCCUGAUGCAGCAACGCCGCGUGCGGGAUGACGGCCUUCGGGUUGUAAACCGCUUUCAGCAGGGGCGAAGCUUGUGGUGACGGUACCUGCAGAAGAAGCACCGGCUAACUACGUG